GCCUCUAGUCCAGACAGGCUGGGUGACUUCAGCCCUAAGAUAAUGCCUCUAGUCCAGACAGGCUGGGUGACUUCAGCCCUAAGAUAAUGCCUCUAGUCCAGACAGGCUGGGUGACUCCAGCCCUAAGAUAAUGCCUCUAGUCCAGACAGGCUGGGUGACUUCAGCCCUAAGAUAAUGCCUCUAGUCCAGACAGGCUGGGUGACUUCAGCCCUAAGAUAAUGCCUCUAGUCCAGACAGGAUUAUUUCAGCCCUAAAAUAAUGCCUCUAGUCCAGAUAGGCUGGGUGACAGGAUUACUUCAACCCUAAGAUAAUGCCUCUAGUCCAGACAGGUUUACUUCAACCCUAAGAUAAUGCCUCUAGUCCAGACAGGAUUACUUCAACCCUAAGAUAAUGCCUCUAGUCCAGACAGGUUUACUUCAACCCUAAGAUAAUGCCUCUAGUCCAGACAGGUUUACUUCAACCCUAGAUAAUGCCUCUAGUCCAGACAGGUUUACUUCAGCCCUAAGAUAAUGCCUCUAGUCCAGACAGGCUGGGUGACAGGCUGACUUCAACCCUAAGAUAAUGCCUCUAGUCCAGACAGGCUGGGUGACAGGCUUACUUCAACCCUAAGAUAAUGCCUCUAGUCCAGGUGGGAUUACUUAAACCCUAAAAUAAUGCCUCUAGUCCAGGUGGGAUUACUUAAACCCUAAGAUAAUGCCUCUAGUCCAGACAGGCUGACUUCAACCCUAAAAUAAUGCAUCUAGUCCAGACAGGCUGGGUGACAGGCUUACUUCAACCCUAAGAUAAUGCCUCUAGUCCAGGUGGGAUUACUUAAACCCUAAAAUAAUGCCUCUAGUCCAGGUGGGAUUACUUAAACCCUAAGAUAAUGCCUCUAGUCCAGACAGGCUGACUUCAACCCUAAGAUAAUGCCUCUAGUCCAGACAGGCUGACUUCAACCCUAAGAUAAUGCCUCUAGUCCAGACAGGCUGACUUCAGCCCUAAGAUAAUGC
Molecule: long non-coding RNA, 989 nt
Organism: Oncorhynchus keta (chum salmon)
Lineage: Eukaryota; Metazoa; Chordata; Actinopteri; Salmoniformes; Salmonidae
Exons: 3
Source: RefSeq, a predicted model, not a curated record